Molecule: non-coding RNA, 382 nt
Organism: Sturnus vulgaris (Common starling)
Lineage: Eukaryota; Metazoa; Chordata; Aves; Passeriformes; Sturnidae
Source: RefSeq, a predicted model, not a curated record
UCUGCUGGGUGACACUGGGAUCCCCUGAGUGAUACUGGGAUCCUUUCGGAGGUACUGGGAUCCACUGGGAGGUGCUGGGAUCCAUUCGGAGCUUCACCUGAGCUGUGUUGGAAGAGUCUUUGCAGAUCCACAACCCAAAAUCCUGUUCAGGGCUGGAUUUCCACCAGUGCCAGGGAUGCCCUGGCCAUCAAGAGCUUUCUGGUUGCAGUGUUUGGACUCUGCUGAACGUUCCCCCUCGUCUUUGCCCGUGUUUUACUCCUGGUGAAAAAUCUCCGUGGAGAUUCCCGGCGACAGCUCCCUUUGCAUUCCUGCUGCACACUCAGCCAGCCAAGCAAGGCUGUAAAUAAUUGAGCACCCAUCAUUCCCCACCAGAAGCAGCCUG